This 220-nucleotide ribosomal RNA is filed under the name uncultured prokaryote. RNAcentral describes it as "partial 16S ribosomal RNA". It matches the Rfam family "Bacterial small subunit ribosomal RNA", at positions 524 to 776 of the family's 1533-position model. The record is from RNAcentral.
UACGUAUAAGACUAGUGUUAGUCAUCUUUAUUAGGUUUAAAGGGUACCUAGACGGUAAAUAAAACUGAAAAACAGUGUUUUUUACUAGAGUUUUAUAAGAGAAGGGAGAAUUUCUGGAGUAGUGAUAAUAUACUAUAAUACUAGAGAGACUGGUAACGGCGAAGGCACCCUUCUAUGUAAAAACUGACGUUGAGGGACGAAGGCUUGGGUAUCAAUAAGG